UAGCCCUGGCUGUCCUGGAACUCACUAUGUAGACCAGGCUGGCCUCGAACUCAGAAAUCCGCCUGCCUCUGCCUUCCAAGUGCUGGAAUCAAAGGCGUGCACCACCACCGCCCAGCUAACUUUACUGUUUUAAUUUGCAACCUAUAUAGACCUUAAUUUUAAGAUGUGGGAGUUGUAUAGAUAGCAAAUUGUUAGUUCAUAUUAUUUAUCUAGAAUGACCUUUAGACUGAAGUGUUUGUUCCCAGUUGAUGCUGUUGUUGUUAUGGUAGGAUUCAUGUGUACCACUUCCUUUAAUCUUUGGUCUUGCUGUUUCCUAAUCUUCUUCUUUGCUAUUAAAUGGAUACUUGUUUUCUACCAAUUUCUUAUUUAAAUUUUUUUUCAGUGUCUUGAGAUGAGAUCUUGCUGUGUUUCCAGACUAGUCUCAGACUCCUGGAUUUAAAUCACUCUUUUGUCUGCCUCCUGAAUAGCUGGGAUUAUAGACAGGUCUGUAGUGCUACAUGUAACUGUAAAUUUGAAAGAUCUUAGCAGGCAUGUUAACCUGUAGCGUCUUUGUCCAGUAAAGUAGUGCCUGGUACUUAGAUCAGAACGGUCAUACUUCUGCAGUAGAGACUGCUAUUUCCAGUUUGUUGAGACCAUGUUGUCAUGUGUCUGUUUCCUGUACUUCCCUGGUCUUUGGGUUGCCUCUCCCUUCUAUUGAGCUUUUUAAUCAGUAGGCUGACAUAAAUCAUUUCAGCACAGUUUUUAUUUAGUCGGUUCUUUCACUAAAUUCUUGGCAUAACUUGAUGUACUGACAUCAGGAAGACGAAAUGAAACAAAAUUCUGGUGAUGCAGGGUUCAUGGAGAGAGCGUGAAGUUCUCUGGAGGUUAGAAGUAGAAGAGGAAGAGGAGGUUGAGGGUGGAAAGAAGCAGAGCAGCCUAGUGUUUCCCUUGUGCUGUUUAGUUCUUAAUCUUCAUGUGAGUUAUCACAGGUUGUGCUGCCAGGUCUGACUGGUAGUCAUCAUCCUGCCAGGGCCUGGUGAUAAUGGCUGGAGGUGCAGAGUGAAACUAACUGGCUUACAACGUGAGAUUGAGAGUGGAAGUAGAAUUCACAGAGGAAGGCUCCCUCCCACCUUGCUUCCAGUGAUGCUUAUGAGGCCAGGAAGAAGCGUCUAACCCCUCCUGACACCACUACACCUACUCCAGGCACCGUGCCCUGUGACCUGCGGCAGUCGGCCUGGAAAGCAGUCUCUGCUGCGGUUGGUUCUGCAUUAGAUGCUUCCGUGCAGCUCUGCACCGGCCACCCAAUAGAUGACUGUUUACUGUGGUGUCUAUGUCUGACUUGCCCAUAACUGUGUAUAUCCAACAAACUGCUUCCAGUGAAGAAUUUUGUAUAUAAUGGCAAAUUUCCUUGAGUGUGGUAACCAGAGAGUGACCUUUACC
RNAcentral lists this long non-coding RNA (1419 nucleotides) under Mus musculus (house mouse). RNAcentral's name for it is "long non-coding RNA chr3:86673653-86675072". Lineage: Eukaryota; Metazoa; Chordata; Mammalia; Rodentia; Muridae. The record is from RNAcentral.